Molecule: long non-coding RNA, 2066 nt
Organism: Mustela erminea (ermine)
Lineage: Eukaryota; Metazoa; Chordata; Mammalia; Carnivora; Mustelidae
Exons: 3
Source: RefSeq, a predicted model, not a curated record
GUACGCCGCUCGCAUCACUGGCUGUUCCGGUGCUCGCCAAGGGCCUGUGCUUCCUCACGGAGGCAUUUCCUACCGAGACGGGUCACAGUGCACGCAGUCCUCUCACUGGGCUCUGCGGGUCCUGGGGUCAUCCCAGCCUGGGUGUCAGAGGUGACCCUGUGACACUUGAGCCACAGUCGGCAGGAAAAGCGACAGCACGACAGCCUUAUCGUCGUCCAUGGAGGGGAGAAGAACCCGUCGGGGCCUGUCCUCUCGGACGGGAGCGGCGCCCCGCGGCUGUCAGGGCCUCGUUCUGACGCUUGGCUCACCCAGCGGGCCCCUCGUCCUAAACCACCUUUUUUACCAGCUCAGAGUCAGGCCUUUUCUGGCAGCCAUCUGUAUAAACAAAGUAUUUUGGGGUCUAGAAGAGUGGUUUCUUCUCUGGGCAAGACUUUUUGACUUAAUUGUCCCCUCACCUUGACUCCUAUGCUUAAAAAGAUCAAGACUGAGCAAAAGAAACAUAUUAUUUUAGUCCACAUCUCUUAAGAAAACAAAAACACAUUCAAAUUCCACUCCUCGGGCUGUGUUGGCCUCGAGCCUGGCCCUAAAAGGCUGAGGGGACAGACGAUUAUUCCCAGCCUCCAACGACGCUCUCCUGACCUCUGGCCUCUGGCCCCCAGCCUCGACCUUUCCCAUUUCUCUGCAUUCUGUCUCCCCACAUCGCCUGGACCCAUCUGUGAGCCUCCACCUGUCCACACAGGAAGAAAAACGGAGUUUGCAGUAUAAAUAUUUAGCUUGAAGAUCUUGGAGAGUGUUUUGGGGGAGGCUCCUGGGUUCCAGCACAGCUGACCCCACAACUUCUCCAACGGCCCCGCCUGCCCUCCACACACGCCUCCCUUAGCCCCACUAACCAAGGCAACUGGCAGCACCUGGGGGGAACGCUGGGGGAGGGGUGCUUGAGCCUGGCGCCCCCACAAUGUCCAUCACCCUUCCCAAAGCCACCCCGAUGAACAGACAAUCUAGGUCAAGGCAGCUCAACCUCUGGCCUCCAGCUCCUCGUACAGAUAAUCCGGGCCCGCCAUGGAAAGAUCUGACUUCGUUCACAGCAGAAGCUGACAUCCGGGGCUUUGAGCCAGACCUGAGUUUGAAAUCUGCCACUUCCUAGCAGGGUGACGGUCUGCUGAGAAAUCUCCGCUUCGGCCUUCAGGUUGAAUUCCGAUUUCUCCAUGUGUCAUGACUAAUGGCAGAAACCAAGAAAUUCAGUGGAAAUACACAGUUCCUCUUAAAAUCUGUGCUCAGGACUGGCCCACCCGCCAUCACUUCUUCACCUCCCACUGGUAAGAGCACAUCACAUGCCUGAGUCCAGCAUCACUGAUGGACUUCCUUACUUUGGCAGCCAUGACGUGCACCUGUCAGGUCUCCAGGGUGGGGCCUAACGGACAGAUAGACCAUGGACUCAUCCUAACAGUCGAGCCAAGACCACACUUCUGCGUCUCCCGGUUCAACAGUGAGCAAGGCAGGGAGGAAGGCCCAGUCCGAGGAGACCCAGGGCUCCUCCGGCAGCACAAGGACUCUUUGUCGCUUUAUGGAAUUUUCCCAGUAUGGCCCUGCAGUCAACAACCGCCCAAUCUUCCUUCCCCCCUCCCUCCCGGCCUCCUCUGGCUCCCUCCUCACUACUCCUCCCCCCAACCCUGGCAUUCUCCCCGCAAAAAAUCUCCUGGAUAGUUCAUCCCUUCUUGACUAUCUCAGAGGACCUGGACUAACACCACUUCCCAUAAUAGAUUUGGGUAAACUAAAAGAAAGAGAGAGGUCUUCCAGGCAGGUAAACAAUUUGAAUAAAGGUGUGGAGGUAGCAAAGCCCAGGGUGUGCUCACAUCACAUGGGGAAAUUAGCCUGUCCUAAGAGGACAUCAAAUCCCCAUGCUAUAGCCCACAAAAUAUGUGCUGUGUGACCUUGGGUAAUUCACUGAGUCUCUCUGGGCCUUGCAAACUGGGAACACGAAUAGUACCCACUUUGCAGGCUCUUGAGGGGGAUUAGACAAGUUAAUACAAAAAAAAUUUUUUUUAAGAUUUUAUUCAUCCAUUUGA